RNAcentral lists this ribosomal RNA (408 nucleotides) under uncultured bacterium. RNAcentral describes it as "partial 16S ribosomal RNA". It matches the Rfam family "Bacterial small subunit ribosomal RNA", at positions 28 to 526 of the family's 1533-position model. The record is from RNAcentral.
GACGAACGCUGGCGGCGUGCUUAACACAUGCAAGUCGAACGAAGUGGCGAACGGGUGAGUACUACGUGGGUAACCUGCCCUCCUUUUUGGGAUAAGCCUUGGAAACGGGGUCUAAUACCGAAUAAAGGGGGAUGGGCUCGCGGCCUAUCAGCUUGUUGGUGGGGUGAUGGCCUAACAAGGCGGUGACGGGUAGCCGGCCUGAGAGGGUGCCCGGCCACAUUGGGACUGAGAUACGGCCCAGACUCCUACGGGAGGCAGCGGUGGUUGGUAUUGCACAAUGGGCGAAAGCCUGAUACAGCGUAGCCGCCUGGGGGAUGAAGGCUUUGGGAUUGUAAACCUCUUUCGUGAUCGAGCGGGUAGGUGGAAAAGAAGCGCCGACUGACUACGUGCCAGCAGCCGCGGUAAUAC